This 767-nucleotide long non-coding RNA is filed under the name Triticum aestivum (bread wheat). RNAcentral describes it as "long non-coding RNA (TAES_LNC024023)". Lineage: Eukaryota; Viridiplantae; Streptophyta; Magnoliopsida; Poales; Poaceae. The record is from RNAcentral.
GACCGUUUUGGUAAUCGCUAUGUUGAUGAUCGUUAUGAUGGUGGCCACUAUGCUGAUGAUCGUUAUGGUGGUGGGCGCGAUCGCUAUCCUCCAGCUGCUGAUCGUUUUUCUGGCGACAGAUAUGGUGGUGGUGAUCGUUAUGCAUCAGCUGGCUUUGCCAGGGAAAGAAGCUAUGAGAGAGAUGGAGGGCGGACAGGUGGAAGUUAUUACCGUGAUGAACCUAGAGGCACUGGUGGUUAUGGCAGGGGUGGUCCACGUGUGGCGAAUGGUGACAGAUAUGGGAGUGGUGGACCUGCUCGCCUUGGCGCAAGUUACCGAGAUAGGCCUGCUCCCUAUGAUCGUCCCACUCGGGGUGCUCGCUCAUAUGAUGACCGCUACUGAUGGAAGGUCACCUUGGAGCAGACCGGAGAUUUAAUACAAGAUUCAAUUCCCAGUUGCUACCACCUACUUUAUUUGUGUCCACUAUGUUGAUGCUUCAACUCUCAAGUAUCAUUCUUUCAAGCAGUUUGUUUAGUUACUUCAGUCCAUAUGGCAGUACUUAAUUAUUAUUAUUAUUAUUAUGGUCAAACUGUACACUCUAGGCAAUGGGCGACACCUGUUGCUUAUUGUUAUGGUAUUGUGUAACUACUCUGCAGUCUUAAGUUUGAGUUGUACUACUGUUUUAGUUUUGACUCAUCUGGUGUUGUCGGCAUUGUCAAUCUUUGAGACUGCAGUGCCACAUUCUGCCAAUCUCUUGACAAAUAUUGGACCUGCUUAUCUGAUGUCAG